AUUAGCUAGUUGGUAAGGUAACGGCUUACCAAGGCGACGAUCAGUAGCCGACCUGAGAGGGUGAACGGCCACAUUGGAACUGAGACACGGUCCAAACUCCUACGGGAGGCAGCAGUGGGGAAUAUUGCACAAUGGGCGAAAGCCUGAUGCAGCAACGCCGCGUGAAGGAAGAAGGCCUUCGGGUCGUAAACUUCUGUCCUUGGGGAAGAAGAACUGACGGUACCCAAGGAGGAAGCCCCGGCUAACUACGUGCCAGCAGCCGCGGUAAUACGUAGGGGGCAAGCGUUAUCCGGAAUUAUUGGGCGUAAAGAGUACGUAGGUGGCAACCUAAGCGCAGGGUUUAAGGCAAUGGCUCAACCAUUGUUCGCCCUGCGAACUGGGAUGCUUGAGUGCAGGAGAGGAAAGCGGAAUUCCUAGUGUAGCGGUGAAAUGCGUAGAUAUUAGGAGGAACACCAGUGGCGAAGGCGGCUUUCUGGACUGUAACUGACACUGAGGUACGAAAGCGUGGGGAGCAAACAGGAUUAGAUACCCUGGUAGUCCACGCCGUAAACGAUGAGCACUAGGUGUCGGGG
RNAcentral lists this ribosomal RNA (572 nucleotides) under uncultured bacterium. RNAcentral describes it as "bacterial SSU rRNA". It matches the Rfam family "Bacterial small subunit ribosomal RNA", at positions 240 to 828 of the family's 1533-position model. The record is from RNAcentral.